RNAcentral lists this ribosomal RNA (497 nucleotides) under uncultured bacterium. RNAcentral describes it as "partial 16S ribosomal RNA". It matches the Rfam family "Bacterial small subunit ribosomal RNA", at positions 28 to 507 of the family's 1533-position model. The record is from RNAcentral.
GAUGAACGCUGGCGGCGUGCCUAAUACAUGCAAGUCGAGCGAACAGACGAGGCUCUUGCUCCUCUGUCGUUAGCGGCGGACGGGUGAGUAACACGUGGAUAACCUACCUAUAAUACUGGUAUAACUUCGGGAAACCGGAGCUUAUACCAGAUGAUAUAUUGCACCGCAUGGUUCAAUAGUUAAAGACGGUUUUGCUGUCACUUAUAGAUGCAUCCCCGCCGCAUUAGCUAGUUGGUAAUGUCAUAGCUUAUCAAGGCAACGAUGCGUAGACGACCUGUGAGAGUGAUCGCCCACACUGGAAGUGAGACGCGGUCAAGAGGCCUAAGGGAGGCAGCAGUAGGGAAUCUGAGGCAAGGGGCGAAAGCAUGACGGAGCAACGCCGAGUGAGUGAUGAAGAUCUUCGGAUCGUAAAACUCGGUUAUUAGGGAAGAACAGAUGUGGAAGGAAAUGUGCAGGUAGUGACGGUACCGGAUCAGAAAGCAACGGCUAACUACGUG